AACUAGAAAGGGGGGCAACCCCCGAGUAAAGUGGCGCACCUUUUGAGUAACACGUGGGUAAUCUGCCUCUGGGUGGGGAAUAACUCUGGGAAACCGGAGCUAAUACCGCAUAAGCUCGAGAGAGGAAAGGCGAAAGUCGCCGAAAGAGGAGCCCGCGGCCGAUUAGCUGGCUGGUAGGGUAAAGGCCUACCAGGGCUGAGAUCGGUAGCCGGCCUGAGAGGGCACACGGCCACACUGGCACUGAAACACGGGCCAGACUCCUACGGGAGGCAGCAGUGGGGAAUCUUGCACAAUGGGGGAAACCCUGAUGCAGCGACGCCGCGUGAGCGAUGAAGCCCUUCGGGGUGUAAAGCUCUUUCGGCAGGGACGAUAAUGACGGUACCUGAAGAAGAAGCUGCGGCUAAUUACUUGCCAGCAGCCGCGGUAUUACGUAGGCAGCGAGCGUUGUUCGGAGUUACUGGGUUUAAAGCGUGCGUAGGCGGUGGCCCAAGUCUGGUGUGAAAUCUCCCGUCUUAACCGGGAGGGUGCGCCGGAAACUGGGUUGCUGGAGUGCCGGAGAGGCUGGCGGAAUUCCUGGUGUAGCGGUGAAUUGCGUAGAUAUCAGGAGGAACACCCGUGGUGUGGACGGCCUGCUGGACGGCCCCUGACGCUGAGUGCA
RNAcentral lists this ribosomal RNA (658 nucleotides) under uncultured Acidobacteriota bacterium. RNAcentral describes it as "bacterial SSU rRNA". It matches the Rfam family "Bacterial small subunit ribosomal RNA", at positions 65 to 753 of the family's 1533-position model. The record is from RNAcentral. Lineage: Bacteria; Pseudomonadati; Acidobacteriota.